Molecule: long non-coding RNA, 1079 nt
Filed under: Brachypodium distachyon (stiff brome)
Lineage: Eukaryota; Viridiplantae; Streptophyta; Magnoliopsida; Poales; Poaceae
Description: long non-coding RNA (BDIS_LNC000148)
Source: RNAcentral
GCGAACAAAACUUUGCUCAUUCUUUUUUCAUUCAUUCAUAGGGAUAGCGAACGGAACAGAACAGGAACACACGACAGGUAGCAUCACGGACAAACACCUAAUGGUAACCCUUAAACAUCUCAAACCCUACGCGAUGGAGCGAGAUCUAGGAUACUCGGGAGCGAUAACAUCACAGAUAAAAGGUAACAAGGAUAACUGGCCACGAGGGGCCCCACCAUUCACUCCCUCCAGUUGCCGCCGCCGGAGCCUCCACGGCUGCCACCGUAGCCGCCGCCGCCACCACCGUAGCCGCCGCCGCCACCAUAGCCGCCGCCACCUUGACGCUGGCCAUAGCCGCCACCGCCGCCACCACCGUAGCCGCCGCCGCCGCCGCCGUAGCCGCCGCCGCCGCCCUCACGUCGCCCGCCGUAGCCGCCGCCGCCUCCUCCGCCACGACCGCCGCCGCCACCACGGGACUGCGCUUCGUUGACGGUGAUGUUGCGGCCAUCCAGGUCCUUGCCGUUCAUGCCCUCGAUGGCGUCGCGCAUCGACUGCUCGCUGGCGAAGGUGACGAAGCCGAACCCGCGGGAACGGCCAGUCUCCCUGUCGUUGAUGAUCUGUGGACAGAAAAGAGCAUGGUCAGAUUUGUUUGCCAAGCCAAUGGCAAAGCGAAAGACGUAGAACAUCAGAUCUAGAAUUCAAAGACUUUGACCAAGUACGGAGUACAAACUAACAGAUGAUACGCAGAUCUAAGUUAACACAACACGAGAAAUAGGAAAACAACGACAUCUGCAUAACACGGCAGAGAUCUACAACAUAUAUAAUCACCAGAUCUGUACAAAGACGCGCAAAACCAAAAGAGGAUGCAGCAAACGAGAAGGUAACAGAGGAAAGCUCCUAGACAAACCUUGGAGUCGAUGAUCUCGCCGAAGGAGGAGAAGGCAUCCUGGAGACCACGGUCGUCGGUAGCCCAGGCGAGGCCGCCCACGAAGCAACGGUACUCAACUUCCGCCAUUCCUCCCACUAAACCCUAACGAACCGGAACCGGAACCGAGGACUAGUGAGGGGGAGGAGAAGCCAACCCACCUCUAUGAAAGCAC